AUACGUAGGGAGCGAGCGUUGUCCGGAAUCAUUGGGCGUAAAGAGCAUGUAGGUGGAUCAAUUAGUCUGCUGUGAAAGUCAAAGGCUCAACCUUUGAAAGCCGGUGGAUACUGUUGGUCUAGAGUACGGAAGAGGCGAGUGGAAUUCCUGGUGUAGCGGUGGAAUGCGCAGAUAUCAGGAGGAACACCAAUAGCGAAGGCAGCUCGCUGGGACGUUACUGACACUGAGAUGCGAAAGCGUGGGGAGCAAACAGGAUUAGAUACCCUGGUAGUCCACGCCGUAAACGAUGGGUACUAGAUGUGGGAGGUGUCGACUCCUCCCGUAUCGUCGCUAACGCAGUAAGUACCCCGCCUGGGGAGUACGGCCGCAAGGCUAAA
This 377-nucleotide ribosomal RNA is filed under the name uncultured bacterium. Its description in RNAcentral is "bacterial SSU rRNA". It matches the Rfam family "Bacterial small subunit ribosomal RNA", at positions 523 to 898 of the family's 1533-position model. The record is from RNAcentral.